CCAUGCGCUCGAGACCAAGAUCACAUGCUAGUAGUACCCAACGCGCUCUCCACCAAACCCAUGGUAACGACAACCUAGCGAACCAAGAUGCUCGCUUUCUGAUGCUUGCCAUGGAUCUUCAAAUUUGUUACUACUAGUUUUGGCAUCAAUGAGCAGUUAAGUUAGUCUAUUCUCUGUUGCUGUUUACUGCUUUGCAGAUAUUGACAUGUGCAUUCAAUGCUUGGGUCUGGGUAACACAGGACCAAAAUGGCAGUAAUUCUUGUCCAGUAUUCUUGCUUCUCGGUGAUCACUAUUGUUGAGAAUAGAGUAAUGCUCGUAAUAACAGUUACUCACUUGCUUUUGGAUCUUUCUAGUCUUUUGCUAGGGAUUAUUCCUUUCAGAGUAUUAAUGAUUAUAAAACUAUAAAUGGAUAUGUAAAGUACACAGCUCUUAAUUCAGUUCAGCUGCCCAUAGAUUGACCUGCUUUCAUCUUUCAAUGCCUUAAGCAGCUAAUUUGAUUUGGGUUCUGCUCUGGACUACAGGAUAGAGUCACUAUGGCUGAGACCAUCUCUUUUCUGAAGCAAAUGCUACUGAAAUUGGUGCCCAGAUUAAUCUUGAGACAAAGACGGUUGCUGAGUUAUUUUGCUUGGACAUCUUCAUCAAAUAUGAUGCAAGGAUGCAUCCACCCAUCACCAUUUCGGCUUUGCAACGUACAAGUUUCAUAUUUUAUUUUGCAUCUCCUGAUGUUCAUUUCUUUCGUGCCUGGACUGCAGCAUGUUCGGUUUACUGUCACCGUGAGUAAGCUUAGCUCAGCUUAGCUAUGAUGGUGGUCUUCUUCCUGAAAACGUGCCAUGAGUCAGGAAGUGCAUAUGGUGUUCAAUACAGGUAUCUAGAUUCGGGUUUUCUGCAGCUGAUGCACCAGGGUGAUUGGCAGCAUCUGUUCUUGCUUCAUUCUAGUGAUGACCACAAGUAAUGCUAAAUAAUUCAUAAAGGGAAUGUCACCAGUUUAAGAAACCCUCUUAGGUGUAUUCAUCUCAUCUGCCAUAUCUGGUACACCACCCAGUAUAUGGACUAAUCUUGUGCAUGGACUCCUCCUGUUCUUUUGUCAGCUAUCACCAAAUUGAGUUGACGAAGGUUGUUUCACCUUGCAUGUUCUUCUGUGGUCUUAUUGUCCUGGGGAUCAUGAAAGGAUAGAGUCACUAUGGUUGAGAGCAUCUCUUUUCUGAAGCAAAUGCCACUGAAAUAAUGAAAUUAGUGUCCAGAUUAAUCAUGAGACAAAGAAGGUUGCUGAGUUACUUUGCUUGGACAUCUUCAAAUAUGAUGCAAGGAUGCAUCCACUGAUCCACCCAUCACGUACAAUUUUCAUAUUUUAUUUUGCAUCCCCUGAUGUUCAUUUCUUUGGUGGCCGGACUGCAGCAUGUUCGGUUUACUGUCACUUUGACUGAGCUUAGCUUAGCUGUGAUGGUUGCUGAGUUAUUUUGCUUGGACAUCUUCAUCAAAUAUGAUGCAAGGAUGCAUCCACCCAUCACCCUUUCGGCUUUGCGACGUACAAUUUUCAUAUUUUAUUUUGCAUCCCCUGAUGUUCAUUUCUUUGGUGCCUGGACUGCAGCAUGUUUGGUUUACUAUCACCGUGACUAAGCUUAGCUUAGCUUAGCUAUGAUGGUGGUCUUCUUCCUGAAAACUUGCCAUGAGUCAGGAAGUGCAUAUGGUGUUCAAUACAGGUAUCUAGAUUCGGGUUUUCUGCAGCUGAUGCACCAGGGUGAUUGGCAGCAUCUGUUCUUGCUUCAUUCUAGUGAUGACCACAAGUAAUGCUAAAUUAUUCAUAAAGGCAAUGGCACCAGCCUACGAACCCCCCUUAGGUGUAUUCAUCUCAUCUGCCAUAUUUUGUACAGCACCCAGUUGAUGGACUAAUUUUGAAUGUUGCCGUAGUCCUCUUUCUUUUCUGGAAAGAAAAAUCGCCGCUUGAAAUUUUUUAUUUAUGGAUUUAUUCAUCUCGGGGCUUUCAGUUUAGUUUUGUGAUUGCGCUUGUUGUGGGAUGUAAACUGCUUGCUACUGAUCAUUGCAAUUGGGUACAAAAGGAAUAUAUGUUUGUUUUGUGUUACAAAAUAAAUAUCGCAUAAGUAGGGGGAAGGUGUAAACAUUGGUGCUGCAAGAGAAGCAAAGAGAUAGGUCUAUGUAUUACUCCCUCCGUCCCAUAAUAUAAGUGCGUUUUUGACACUAGUGUAGUGUCAAAAACGCUCUUAUAUUAUGAGACGAGGUUUUUGCAGAUAGAGAAGUACUCCCUCCAUUCAUAAAUAUAAGAUGUUCUAUUUUUUUUCUAAAUCGGAUGUAUAUAGACAGGUUUUAGUGUGUUUGUUCUCUCAUUUCAGUCCGUAUAUACUCCAUAUUGAAAUAUCCAAAUCAACUUACAUUUGUGAAUGGAGGGAGUACUAACUAUGUUCAAUAAAUUGAUGCUGGCAAAAUGCCACUGUAGCUACUCACACUCCUUUACUUUUGUCCUCCUAGAGCAUGUUCAGAUUGGUAAAGAAAUCAGCAUUGUGCUUGCCUUCGAUAAUGGCUGGGAUCCAUGUCCCCUUUAUUUUCUUCCUCCAUAGUUGCUUUAUGUUCAGAUUGGUUAACAGUACUACAGAGGGAAAUUUGAGAAACAACUACCGUACCAAUUAUUUACUGGAUUUUAUUAUUUAUUUUGCACCUCAAUGGCUAGUUGUGAUGUCCCAUUAGGCCUCUAUAGUUUACACAAUAUACUAUAUUGGAUUAAUUUACUUGUUGACCGAAAUGAUAUAGCAGUGAUGUACAGUCUAGCUCUCAGAUUUGUUGCUGUAAUUAUUUUCAAUCUCCAGUUUUGAAGGGUGUACUUAUUGUUGUCUCUCAAAUCACAAUGUCAUGUGGGCAUGUGCCUACUGAUGACAGAGCCACAAAGUUUUUUUAACAAAUAUUUAUUUUGACAUUGUGAAGCAAGAAUAACAUAAAUGUCCCAAGACACAGGUCGUGUUCGUGCUACUACAUAGUAAUGAUGCUGUUUGUUUUAUGUUAGGGUGCCACAAUAUUUAUAUCAUAUUAUGGACAGUGAUGAAGUGACUUAUAUUGUUGAGUAUGCAGAGAUCAAUAAGUGAGCAAACUUAAGCUAGACAAUAGUGCUACGCGACCAAAUAUCUGUCCCUGGAUACCGAGAAUGUGAGUGAGCCCCGUUCUGCUGCCGUUGUUAUAUUACCUCCGGGGAAGACCGACUGGGUGUACUAAAUGCUCAAUUGGUACCUGCAUACCAUUAGGAGAUACAUUUUGGUGUAGCUUAUCUCAGUGUCAUAUAAAGAAACAGUAAAAGCUUUGCAUUUCUUCUAUUAUGCCAACACAUCCCGCUUGGUUUGUUUCUACUGUGGUAGAAACACAAGCUCUGCUGGAAAGGUAUAGCGCAAAUUCACAAGUAUCACAACUUCGUCAUCAAAUGGGUUUAUUAUCCGAUGAGGCUAUAGUGUAGCCGAACAUACGACUCUUUUAUUGCUUAAAAGAGGCAGGGGCUAAUUAUAUCUAAGUUUUAAAAUAGUAUUUUCUGUUGACCUGAGCAACAACAGUGGUACAACUCUUUUAUUAGCUCUGCUAUGUGUUUAUUGGAUGUUAGGUUGCUGAUGGAAAUAGGCGCUAGGAUAAUUGGAGCUGUAUUUUAUUGUAAUGUGUUAAGAAAUCAAGUUACUUGCUUUAAAGUUCUUUGAUUUAUAUGAUGUUUUACAUUGUACACAAAGGUGGCUUGCCAGGUAAAUUUGCGAACAUAUGUUUUGGGGUUUGAAUUAGUGUCACUUUGCCUUGCAGGUACUGGAUACAACAAUGUGAAUGGGGUGGCUUUAUCAAACAAGUAUCAUUGUCCAUGGUGGAACUAUCUAGUGUGUGUGCUCUGCAGAAAGGGUGGCACAGUAGAAGAUGCAUGAAUGCCAUAUUGAGGAUUCUAUAUGGGUGCAGUGAAGGGCACUUGUUUCUCUAGUUUGAUUGGAAAGCCAUGAUUAGAACAAAAGAGUUGGUCCAGAACGAGUGGGCGGAGUAGGGAUGUUGAUUUGAGAUAGUUGGACUGCAGAUGGAGAAGACCCCCUGCUGAAAGCUGACCUGGAUAUCAAGGGAACAUCAAUACCAGUGUGAAAUAAGCAUCCUGAUUACAGAACGGGCACCAGUAUCUCAACUCUGUUACGGCUUGGGGCUGUGGUGCCCUCGAGGGAGAAGUAUCAAGGUUAGCUGGGGAUUAAGCAGCUAAGGAGGUCUUACAUAUUGAACGUCGCCGUUGGACCGCCCAAGGACAUGCCGGUCCGGGUGGUCGUUGGUAUGGCAUGUCGCCAUGAGUUGAGCACGAGGACAGGCUCCUCAAUCUUCCUUGCUGUCGACCAAUUUCUGCUCAUGGCCCCAGCAUCUGCCAGAUCAAUCAUGUAUGCAUACAUGAUUGAAGAAUAAGAAGGUUCAGAAAUGCUCACUCUACGGGGGCACUCUCCUCCAUCAUCGCUUCAAAGGAAACCAGACACCUUCCACGGAGUUGAGCAGCUCUCACCCUUGCCGUGGCACUCUCCUCCAUCAUCGCUUCAAAGGAAACCAGAUACCUUCGACGGAGUUGAGCAGCCCUCACCCUUGCUGUCUAAACUACAUGAGCCUGUGUGGAAGAUGAUGAAUUAAUGUCCCCAUCCUGAGAUGCUGCAUCUGAAUUUUGAAUCAUAAUCCCUCCAUUGGAAACAACAACUCUCUGCUGCAACUGUCCACUAGAAUUGCAGAAGCAAGAGGCUGCUUUUACAAUUCUAGUUAAUUGCAGAGGCAAGCAACUGUCCUCAGUAGGAAAGACUAUCCCAUAGUUUGCAGAAGAUCGGUGAUCAAACCCACUUCCUGAGGUAGAGGUGUGAUCCUCCCAGAGAGAAGGGUAAUAGAGAGAGAGGGAGUGUGUGUGUGUAUGUCUGUCUGUGUGUUGUGAGAGAGGAAACCAGCCUAGUUGCGAGUAAAAUUGGCAGGAGCAGAGUCACUUGUGCGUGACUUUUGACAUGGA
Molecule: long non-coding RNA, 4987 nt
Organism: Hordeum vulgare subsp. vulgare (domesticated barley)
Lineage: Eukaryota; Viridiplantae; Streptophyta; Magnoliopsida; Poales; Poaceae
Exons: 8
Source: RefSeq, a predicted model, not a curated record